GCCAUUUCAGUGCCAUUUCGGUGCCAUUUUGGUGCGGUUUUGGUGCCAUUUCUGUGCCAAUUUGGUGCCAUUUUGGCUCUGUUCUGGCACCGUUUCAGUGCCAUUUUGGUGCCAUUUUGGUGUCAUUUCAGUGCCAUUUUGGUGCCAUUCUGGUGCCAUUUCAGUGCCAUUUUGGUGCUUUGUUUGUCACUGU
This 193-nucleotide long non-coding RNA is filed under the name Numida meleagris (helmeted guineafowl). RNAcentral describes it as "lncRNA (ENSNMEG00000004136.1)". The record is from RNAcentral. Lineage: Eukaryota; Metazoa; Chordata; Aves; Galliformes; Numididae.